Molecule: ribosomal RNA, 658 nt
Filed under: Pseudomonas sp. A-30p
Lineage: Bacteria; Pseudomonadati; Pseudomonadota; Gammaproteobacteria; Pseudomonadales; Pseudomonadaceae
Description: bacterial SSU rRNA
Rfam family: Bacterial small subunit ribosomal RNA
Source: RNAcentral
CAUGCAGUCGAGCGGUAGAGAGAAGCUUGCUUCUCUUGAGAGCGGCGGACGGGUGAGUAAUGCCUAGGAAUCUGCCUGGUAGUGGGGGAUAACGCUCGGAAACGGACGCUAAUACCGCAUACGUCCUACGGGAGAAAGCAGGGGACCUUCGGGCCUUGCGCUAUCAGAUGAGCCUAGGUCGGAUUAGCUAGUUGGUGAGGUAAUGGCUCACCAAGGCGACGAUCCGUAACUGGUCUGAGAGGAUGAUCAGUCACACUGGAACUGAGACACGGUCCAGACUCCUACGGGAGGCAGCAGUGGGGAAUAUUGGACAAUGGGCGAAAGCCUGAUCCAGCCAUGCCGCGUGUGUGAAGAAGGUCUUCGGAUUGUAAAGCACUUUAAGUUGGGAGGAAGGGCAGUAAAUUAAUACUUUGCUGUUUUGACGUUACCGACAGAAUAAGCACCGGCUAACUCUGUGCCAGCAGCCGCGGUAAUACAGAGGGUGCAAGCGUUAAUCGGAAUUACUGGGCGUAAAGCGCGCGUAGGUGGUUCGUUAAGUUGGAUGUGAAAUCCCCGGGCUCAACCUGGGAACUGCAUUCAAAACUGUCGAGCUAGAGUAUGGUAGAGGGUGGUGNAAUUUCCUGUGUAGCCGNUGAAAUGCGUAGAUAUAGGAAGGAAC